Long non-coding RNA from Phycodurus eques (leafy seadragon), 314 nucleotides. RefSeq lists it as uncharacterized. The record is from RefSeq and is a predicted model, not a curated record. The transcript is spliced from 3 exons. Lineage: Eukaryota; Metazoa; Chordata; Actinopteri; Syngnathiformes; Syngnathidae.
UGGAACAAAUGUUUAGCAGAAUUUGUAUGUUAUUAUUAUUAUUUUUAUGACAGUUGCUCUGAGGUUUUAUUUGUUUCUCAGAUUGCAUGGAGGGCCAGAUCAAAUGCUCUUGCCCACGGGCCUCAAGCGGAGCAUGCACGUACCGACAAUUGGGACAAAUUUGGGAAUUUUCCGCCCCUUGUGAUCAAACAGUCUGGAUGGCGUGCGGCACCAUACUGCCUCUCACAGGUUGUGAAGCUGUGACAUACAAGCCUGCAUCCUCAAACCUCCGCCCCCCCCCCUCCCCCCGAAAAAUAAAUAAAUCUGUAAACCAC